GCCAGGCAUGGUGACACAUGCCUGUAAUCCCAGCAGCUCAGGAGGCUGAGGUAGGAGAAUUAGGAGUUCAGAGGCAGCCUCAGCAAUUUAGUGAAGCUCUGAGCAAUUUAGCAAGACCCUUCUCUAU
RNAcentral lists this small RNA (127 nucleotides) under Marmota monax (woodchuck). Lineage: Eukaryota; Metazoa; Chordata; Mammalia; Rodentia; Sciuridae. The record is from RNAcentral.